GGGCAUGUAGCUCAGUUGGUAGAGCGCGUCAUUAGCAUUGACGAGGUCUUUGGUUCGAUUCCUAACCUGUCCA
RNAcentral lists this transfer RNA (73 nucleotides) under Trichosporon asahii var. asahii CBS 8904. Its description in RNAcentral is "tRNA-Ala (AGC) (multiple tRNAs)". It matches the Rfam family "tRNA". Rfam says of the family: Transfer RNA (tRNA) molecules are approximately 80 nucleotides in length. Their secondary structure includes four short double-helical elements and three loops (D, anti-codon, and T loops). The record is from RNAcentral. Lineage: Eukaryota; Fungi; Basidiomycota; Tremellomycetes; Trichosporonales; Trichosporonaceae.